GAUGAACGCUGACAGAAUGCUUAACACAUGCAAGUCUACUUGAACUUCGGUUUGGGUGGCGGACGGGUGAGUAACGCGUAAAGAACUUGCCUCACAGUUAGGGACAACAUUUGGAAACGAAUGCUAAUACCUGAUAUUAUGAUUUUAGGGCAUCCUAAGAUUAUGAAAGCUAUAUGCGCUGUGAGAGAGCUUUGCGUCCCAUUAGCUAGUUGGAGAGGUAACGGCUCACCAAGGCGAUGAUGGGUAGCCGGCCUGAGAGGGUGAACGGCCACAAGGG
RNAcentral lists this ribosomal RNA (277 nucleotides) under uncultured bacterium. RNAcentral describes it as "partial 16S ribosomal RNA". It matches the Rfam family "Bacterial small subunit ribosomal RNA", at positions 28 to 316 of the family's 1533-position model. The record is from RNAcentral.